This 750-nucleotide ribosomal RNA is filed under the name uncultured cyanobacterium. RNAcentral describes it as "bacterial SSU rRNA". It matches the Rfam family "Bacterial small subunit ribosomal RNA", at positions 28 to 822 of the family's 1533-position model. The record is from RNAcentral. Lineage: Bacteria; Bacillati; Cyanobacteriota.
GAUGAACGCUGGCGGUCUGCUUAACACAUGCAAGUCGAACGGAUGUCUUCGGACAUUAGUGGCGGACGGGUGAGUAACGCGUGAGGAUCUGCCCUCAGGAUGGGGACAACAGUUGGAAACGACUGCUAAUACCCGAUGUGCCGAGAGGUGAAACUAUUUGGCCUGAGGAUGAGCUCGCGUCUGAUUAGCUAGUUGGAGUGGUAAUGGCACACCAAGGCGACGAUCAGUAGCUGGUCUGAGAGGAUGAUCAGCCACACUGGGACUGAGACACGGCCCAGACUCCUACGGGAGGCAGCAGUGGGGAAUUUUCCGCAAUGGGCGAAAGCCUGACGGAGCAAGACCGCGUGGGGGACGAAGGUUUGUGGAUUGUAAACCCCUUUUGAUUGGGAAGAAGUUCUGACGGUACCAAUCGAAUCAGCAUCGGCUAACUCCGUGCCAGCAGCCGCGGUAAUACGGAGGAUGCAAGCGUUAUCCGGAAUUAUUGGGCGUAAAGCGUCCGUAGGUGGUUGGUCAAGUCAGUUGUUAAAGCGUGGGGCUUAACCCCAUAAAGGCAAAUGAAACUGACCAGCUAGAGUGCGAUAGGGGCAAGGGGAAUUUCCAGUGUAGCGGUGAAAUGCGUAGAUAUUGGAAAGAACACCGGUGGCGAAAGCGCCUUGCUGGGUCUGCACUGACACUGAGGGACGAAAGCUAGGGGAGCGAAAGGGAUUAGAUACCCCUGUAGUCCUAGCCGUAAACGAUGGAUACUAGGCG